GCCUGGGUGGCUCAGUGGUUGAGCAUCUGCCUUUGGCUCAGGUCAUGAUCCCAGAGUCCUGGGAUGGAGUCCCACCUCAGGCU
This 83-nucleotide transfer RNA is filed under the name Canis lupus familiaris (dog). It matches the Rfam family "tRNA". Rfam says of the family: Transfer RNA (tRNA) molecules are approximately 80 nucleotides in length. Their secondary structure includes four short double-helical elements and three loops (D, anti-codon, and T loops). RNAcentral also lists the same sequence under 1 other name. Lineage: Eukaryota; Metazoa; Chordata; Mammalia; Carnivora; Canidae. The record is from Rfam by way of RNAcentral.